ACGUUAGCGGCGGACGGGUGAGUAACACGUGGAUAACCUACCUAUAAGACUGGGAUAACUUCGGGAAACCGGAGCUAAUACCGGAUAAUAUAUUGAACCGCAUGGUUCAAUAGUGAAAGACGGUUUUGCUGUCACUUAUAGAUGGAUCCGCGCCGCAUUAGCUAGUUGGUAAGGUAACGGCUUACCAAGGCAACGAUGCGUAGCCGACCUGAGAGGGUGAUCGGCCACACUGGAACUGAGACACGGUCCAGACUCCUACGGGAGGCAGCAGUAGGGAAUCUUCCGCAAUGGGCGAAAGCCUGACGGAGCAACGCCGCGUGAGUGAUGAAGGUCUUCGGAUCGUAAAACUCUGUUAUUAGGGAAGAACAAAUGUGUAAGUAACUAUGCACGUCUUGACGGUACCUAAUCAGAAAGCCACGGCUAACUACGUGCCAGCAGCCGCGGUAAUACGUAGGUGGCAAGCGUUAUCCGGAAUUAUUGGGCGUAAAGCGCGCGUAGGCGGUUUUUUAAGUCUGAUGUGAAAGCCCACGGCUCAACCGUGGAGGGUCAUUGGAAACUGGAAAACUUGAGUGCAGAAGAGGAAAGUGGAAUUCCAUGUGUAGCGGUGAAAUGCGCAGAGAUAUGGAGGAACACCAGUGGCGAAGGCGACUUUCUGGUCUGUAACUGACGCUGAUGUGCGAAAGCGUGGGGAUCAAACAGGAUUAGAUACCCUGGUAGUCC
This 720-nucleotide ribosomal RNA is filed under the name Staphylococcus epidermidis. RNAcentral's name for it is "bacterial SSU rRNA". It matches the Rfam family "Bacterial small subunit ribosomal RNA", at positions 89 to 796 of the family's 1533-position model. The record is from RNAcentral. Lineage: Bacteria; Bacillati; Bacillota; Bacilli; Caryophanales; Staphylococcaceae.